RNAcentral lists this transfer RNA (72 nucleotides) under Marmota monax (woodchuck). RNAcentral describes it as "tRNA.Ala". Lineage: Eukaryota; Metazoa; Chordata; Mammalia; Rodentia; Sciuridae. The record is from RNAcentral.
GUGUUGUGGCUCAGUGGUAGAGCACUUGCCUGGCAUGUGUGAGGUACUGGGUUCAAUCCCCAAGGCCAUAUA